UAUCCAUUUUAAAGAUAGGAUUUCUUAUUUUCUUAUUCUUAUAUUCUUGUCUUUUUCCAAUAUAUUCUCUGUAGAUAUCUGUAAAUCUUUCCGAUGUAGACGGAGGCAUACACAAAAAUCUAUUCAAGUAUGAACAGUGCAGAAAAGAGUUUGUGAUAUGACAGGUGACGUGAACACAACUCACUCUCUAAUGUGACAUGGAGUACUAAGAAAAAAUGUUUUUUCAGGGUCUUAAUAGGGAAAGUAUUGCAAAUCACUGCUUUGGAGUCUCUACAACAGAUAGAUGCUGAGCAUUGGCACCUGAUCAUUGAGCACAUCUAAACUGCCUGCUUCUUGAAUCUGCAUUUCUUUGCACAGAGAGCCACAGGGAAUAGUAUCCAUGCAGAGUGGACAGUAGUCUGAUGGACGGGGCAUCCUCAUGGAGACACAGGCGCAAAACGUGGGCCUCUUGCUCCUGAGGUAUCAGACAUGUGCAAUCCAUCAAAGAGACAGCCCAAGUGCAGGGUCAGGCACACAAAAUGUAGGCAUUAAGUUCUCUCAAAGGAUAGCUUGAUGAUACAGUCCAGUUCAUUUAUCAUUGAUACCGAGAGAAGACAGUCGUUCCCCAGCACCAGCCACGCUGCACUUUUCUGCCAAAUCCUGAGCUGAUUCAACUCACCAAGAACUGUUGCAGUGACUACAGAGGGAACAGCAGGACAGACAUCCUUUCCCAAGAGGAAAGGGCAUCCCAGCGUGUUAUCUUAACCUGUUGUUGGAGAGAUAACAACGCCGAAGGCUCAGCAGUAGGGGAAGUAAAGAAAGCCACUUCGUUCCAAAAGGCGCUUCUGACAAUGGCAGUUUUAACUAAGGCGGCAGCUGUGAAAUAAUGCUUUCACUGUUUGCAGUGAUCCUAUAUAUCUGGCUGUGGACUCACUGAUAACAUAAUAACAUUUUUCUAUGGUGAAAAAGGAGGCUGGAUAUGUAACUUAACUAUAAAGAAACAUAUCGUGUAUCACACAGUCUUAUUUAGGCAGCUCAGCAAAGGACUUACAUCCAUGUUUAAUCACAUGCUUAUACCAUUAGUAAUGCUAAGGUGCUUAAGCUACUAGCAGCAUGAAGAUGGAUGGACAUGUACUCAAAAAUGAAGCAUAGACUUAACUGCUUUUAAGAAUUCUAGCCUUAAAAUGUUGCUGAUGUUACAUGGAAAUCUUUGGAAACAUUCUGUAUUAUUUGUAGAAACACUUCUAUAGGAAAAAAAAAUUCCUUGCUUUGGAUUUCCUCUUUCAUGUUCCUUUCUUAAAAGCAUUUGCCUGAAAAAACUCCUGAGCUUUUUCUAUUCUACAAAAAUACGUAAAUAAUACUUUAUUUUACAAUGCUUGCUUCUCAAAUUCUGAGCAAUUUGCUCUGAAAAACAGAAGUCAGCGAUUUAGCUGAAAAGGUUCCUGGAACUGCUGAGGGGAAGACCCAGUUUUUCUGUCUUCCCCACAGUGCUUGAGUCACCAGAUCCUACUGCUGCUUUAUUUCAAUUUGUGUUUUUACUGCCAGGAAUAUCUGCAAGCCUCAUGAAGUAAUGCUUCUUCCAUGUUAAGCUAAAAGAUAUAAUGAGCAGAUGUUUCAGACACUGAACUAAAAAUCAGGCUAUUCAGAGAUUUAAUAAAUUUAUACUCUGCUUUCCUUUGCUUCUGCA
RNAcentral lists this long non-coding RNA (1666 nucleotides) under Dromaius novaehollandiae (emu). RNAcentral's name for it is "lncRNA (ENSDNVG00000002395.1)". The record is from RNAcentral. Lineage: Eukaryota; Metazoa; Chordata; Aves; Casuariiformes; Dromaiidae.